RNAcentral lists this ribosomal RNA (424 nucleotides) under uncultured bacterium. RNAcentral describes it as "bacterial SSU rRNA". It matches the Rfam family "Bacterial small subunit ribosomal RNA", at positions 355 to 775 of the family's 1533-position model. The record is from RNAcentral.
UCGAGAAUCUUCGGCAAUGGGCGCAAGCCUGACCGAGCGACGCCGCGUGCGGGAUGAAGGCCUUCGGGUUGUAAACCGCUAUCAGUGGGGAGGAAAUGCCGGUGGGUUCUCCCAUCGGUUUGACCUAUCCGCAGAUGAAGGACGGGCUAAGUUCGUGCCAGCAGCCGCGGUAAGACGAACCGUCCAAACGUUAUUCGGAUCACUGGGCUUAAAGGGUGCGUAGGCUGUCCGGUAAGUUGGGUGUGAAAGCCCUCGGCUCAACCGAGGAAUUGCGCCCAAAACUGCCGGGCUCGAGGGAGAUAGAGGUGAGCGGAACUAAGGGUGGAGCGGUGAAAUGCAUUGAUAUCCUUAGGAACACCAGUAGCGAAAGCGGCUCACUGGGUCUCUUCUGACGCUGAGGCACGAAAGCUAGGGGAGCGAACGG